GGGUAUGCCUAUAGCAUAGCGUUAAUGUAUCGGAUCCCAUUAGAACUCUAUAGUUGAGCACGCUUGGGCUAGAGUAGUAUUGGGAUGGGUGACUGCUCAGAAAGUCCUAGUGUUUUAAAUG
Non-coding RNA from Picea glauca (white spruce), 121 nucleotides. NCBI's taxonomy places the organism in Eukaryota, Viridiplantae, Streptophyta, Pinopsida, Pinales, Pinaceae. The record is from Rfam.